CGGAGGGUGCAAGCGUUAUCCGGAUUCACUGGGUUUAAAGGGUGUGUAGGCGGGCUUUUAAGUCAGUGGUGAAAUCUCCAGGCUCAACCUGGAAACUGCCAUUGAUACUAUAGGUCUUGAAUUUUGUUGAGGUAGGCGGAAUAUAUCAUGUAGCGGUGAAAUGCUUAGAUAUGAUAUAGAACACCGAUUGCGAAGGCAGCUUACUAAGCAAAUAUUGACGCUGAGGCACGAAAGCGUGGGGAUCAAACAGGAUUAGAUACCCUGGUAGUCCACGCCCUAAACGAUGAUUACUCGACAUACGUGAUACACUAUGUGUGUCUGAGCGAAAGCAUUAAGUAAUCCACCUGGGAAGUACGUCCGCAAGGAUG
RNAcentral lists this ribosomal RNA (368 nucleotides) under uncultured organism. Its description in RNAcentral is "bacterial SSU rRNA". It matches the Rfam family "Bacterial small subunit ribosomal RNA", at positions 526 to 896 of the family's 1533-position model. The record is from RNAcentral.